This 23-nucleotide non-coding RNA is filed under the name Cricetulus griseus (Chinese hamster). Lineage: Eukaryota; Metazoa; Chordata; Mammalia; Rodentia; Cricetidae. The record is from RNAcentral.
AUUUGUCUGUUACUGAAGUGUGG